Long non-coding RNA from Suncus etruscus (white-toothed pygmy shrew), 221 nucleotides. RefSeq lists it as uncharacterized. Lineage: Eukaryota; Metazoa; Chordata; Mammalia; Eulipotyphla; Soricidae. The record is from RefSeq and is a predicted model, not a curated record. The transcript is spliced from 2 exons.
GGUGGCCACAUUGGAACUGGACCAUCACCCAUGGCUCUCUGUUUGCCAGGAGAAGGGGCUGGUACCCAAGAUGGAGACUUUGGAAAGGCCUUUGAAGCCAACUGAAGCCAGCCUCUAAGCCAGAGAAGGAAUGCAGGAGAGUUGAAUGAACUGAGAUACCCAACUCCAACUGGUUGAUGUUGAUGCCUUUUCUGCACUUAAUAAAUGCUUAGCAAAUAUUA